This 500-nucleotide ribosomal RNA is filed under the name uncultured bacterium. Its description in RNAcentral is "partial 16S ribosomal RNA". It matches the Rfam family "Bacterial small subunit ribosomal RNA", at positions 30 to 523 of the family's 1533-position model. The record is from RNAcentral.
AUUGAACGCUGGCGGAAUGCUUUACACAUGCAAGUCGAACGGCAGCACGGACUUCGGUCUGGUGGCGAGUGGCGAACGGGUGAGUAAUGUAUCGGAACGUGCCCAGUCGUGGGGGAUAACGUAGUGAAAAUUACGCUAAUACCGCAUACGAUCUAUGGAUGAAAGCGGGGGAUCGCAAGACCUCGCGCGAUUGGAGCGGCCGAUAUCAGAUUAGGUAGUUGGUGGGGUAAAGGCCCACCAAGCCAACGAUCUGUAUAUGGUCUGAGAGGACGACCAGCCACACUGGAGCUGAGGAUCGGUCCAGACUCCGACGGGAGGCAGCAGUGGGGAAUGUUGGACAAUGGGCGAGAGCCGGAUCCAGCCAUACGGCGUGCAGGAUGAAGGCCCUCGGGUCGUAAACUGCUUUUGUACAGAACGAAAAGGUUUCCACUAAUACUAGGAGCUCAUGACGGUACUGUAAGAAUAAGCACCGGCUAACUACGUGCCAGCCGCCGCCGUAA